RNAcentral lists this ribosomal RNA (272 nucleotides) under uncultured Lactobacillaceae bacterium. RNAcentral describes it as "partial 16S ribosomal RNA". It matches the Rfam family "Bacterial small subunit ribosomal RNA", at positions 524 to 795 of the family's 1533-position model. The record is from RNAcentral. Lineage: Bacteria; Bacillati; Bacillota; Bacilli; Lactobacillales; Lactobacillaceae.
UACGUAGGUGGCAAGCGUUGUCCGGAUUUAUUGGGCGUAAAGCGAGUGCAGGCGGCUCGAUAAGUCUGAUGUGAAAGCCUUCGGCUCAACCGGAGAAUUGCAUCAGAAACUGUCGAGCUUGAGUACAGAAGAGGAGAGUGGAACUCCAUGUGUAGCGGUGAAAUGCGUAGAUAUAUGGAGGAACACCGGUGGCGAAGGCGGCUCUCUGGUCUGUUACUGACGCUGAGGCUCGAAAGCAUGGGUAGCGAACAGGAUUAGAUACCCUGGUAGUC